UUAACAUAAAUCAAUAUUGUCACCUAAUGAUACUGCACUCUAUGAACAGGGAAGAAGAAUAAAAAAACAAUAAAAAAGAAAGGCUAACCAAAAAAAAAAAUAUCGCAAUUAAGCAGUAGCAGCCUAGCGGUAUAUCCAGCGGCUCUGAAACGAAUCGAAGCCAAAACCCUCCUCUCUCAUUUAUCCCCUGGAAAUCUCUCUAAAUUCGAAGCUGCCAAAAUGGUAGCAUCAGCUGUUUCAGCCCCUCUUAGCUUGUCUAUCUCUUCUCGCAACAAAAUCCCCUCCAUUUCUCUAUUUUCUCAAAGAAACUCGGCAAGGUGCACAGUUUCCUCUUUGCAUUGUCCCUACGGCGAGUCUUCAGCCGAAGGACUAUCAAGUAAAACUUGUGGGUUCCCACUAAGGGUUGAUGAGAAGGAUAUUCGUUAUGCUAAUCAAAGUUAUCCUGCAAUUAGAGCCAACAAAGCAAAUCCACCAAUUAUGCCAGCGGUUAUGACUCCAGGAGGACCUUUGGAUCUAUCAUCUAUAUUAUUUAGGAAUCGCAUAAUCUUCAUUGGGCAGCCAAUAAAUUCACAGGUGGCUCAGCGAGUUAUAUCACAACUUGUGACUCUAGCAACUAUUGAUGAGAAAGCAGAUAUUCUGAUGUAUCUCAACUGCCCUGGUGGAAGCACCUACUCUGUAUUGGCAAUUUAUGAUUGCAUGUCUUGGAUAAAACCAAAAGUUGGCACCGUUUGUUUUGGAGUAGCUGCAAGCCAAGGAGCAGUUCUUCUUGCUGGUGGAGAAAAGGGAAUGCGGUAUGCUAUGCCCAAUGCACGUAUUAUGAUACAUCAACCACAGGGUGGAUGUGGGGGUCAUGUGGAGGAUGUGAGACGCCAAGUAAAUGAAGCAGUUCAAUCUCGCCAUAACUCUGGUGCAGAAAAUUGACAGAAUGUAUGCUGCAUUUACUGGCCAACCUCUUGAGAAAGUGCAAGAGUACACCGAGAGGGAUCGCUUCUUAUCUACCUCAGAGGCUAUGGAGUUUGGACUCAUUGAUGGCAUCCUGGAAACAGAAUACUGAACUGGCCAUUAAAUACAUGAAAAGGAACUUUUCGGGGUGGACUUGCUUGGGUUAGAUCACGGAUUAAAUUGGCCGAAGUUAGUGUUUGAGAAAAUGAAAAGGCGGGUUUUGUAAUGAAUUAGUGUCAUUUAUUGUUUCAAGGUUCUUUAAACAGGAAAUUAUUUUUUAGCUUUUGUACGUUGGACAGGAAUUUUGGAAGUUGUAACGAAAAGUCUUAAUUUUUGUUUAUAUUUCAUAUUUUACGAAAAGUCUUAAUGCAGUAAAAGAUUUGGUAUCUCUA
This is an RNA transcript of Manihot esculenta (cassava), 1334 nucleotides long. It is a transcript of the gene named ATP-dependent Clp protease proteolytic subunit 6, chloroplastic, with no coding region annotated. The transcript is spliced from 9 exons. The record is from RefSeq and is a predicted model, not a curated record. Lineage: Eukaryota; Viridiplantae; Streptophyta; Magnoliopsida; Malpighiales; Euphorbiaceae.